AGUCAUAUGCUUGUCUCAAAGAUUAAGCCAUGCAUGUCUCAGUACAAGCCGCAUUAAGGUGAAACCGCGAAAGGCUCAUUAAAUCAGUUAUGGUUCCUUAGAUCGUACCCACAUUUACUUGGAUAACUGUGGUAAUUCUAGAGCUAAUACAUGCAAACAGAGUCCCGACCGGAGACGGAAGGGAUGCUUUUAUUAGAUCAAAACCAAUCGGCGGCGGGUGCGUUCGCGCGCUCCCGUUCGCCGCUCAACUUGGUGACUCUGAAUAACUUUCGGCUGAUCGCACGGUCCAGCACCGGCGACGCAUCUUUCAAAUGUCUGCCUUAUCAACUGUCGAUGGUAGGUUCUGCGCCUACCAUGGUCGUAACGGGUAACGGGGAAUCAGGGUUCGAUUCCGGAGAGGGAGCCUGAGAAACGGCUACCACAUCCAAGGAAGGCAGCAGGCGCGCAAAUUACCCACUCCCGGCACGGGGAGGUAGUGACGAAAAAUAACGAUACGGGACUCAUCCGAGGCCCCGUAAUCGGAAUGAGUACACUUUAAAUCCUUUAACGAGGAUCAAUUGGAGGGCAAGUCUGGUGCCAGCAGCCGCGGUAAUUCCAGCUCCAAUAGCGUAU
This 612-nucleotide ribosomal RNA is filed under the name Exocelina sp. AN1160. Its description in RNAcentral is "SSU rRNA". It matches the Rfam family "Eukaryotic small subunit ribosomal RNA", at positions 22 to 602 of the family's 1831-position model. The record is from RNAcentral. Lineage: Eukaryota; Metazoa; Arthropoda; Insecta; Coleoptera; Dytiscidae.